Molecule: ribosomal RNA, 908 nt
Filed under: uncultured bacterium
Lineage: Bacteria
Description: bacterial SSU rRNA
Rfam family: Bacterial small subunit ribosomal RNA
Source: RNAcentral
CUUAGAGUUUGAUCCUGGCUCAGGACGAACGCUGGCGGCGCGCCUAACACAUGCAAGUCGAACGGAGCUGAGAGGAGCUUGCUUUUCUUAGCUUAGUGGCGAACGGGUGAGUAACACGUGGGUUACCUACCUCUAAGAUGGGGAUAACAGUUGGAAACGACUGAUAAUACCGAAUGUGCUCUACGGAGUAAAGAAGCCCUUAAAGCUUCGCUUAGAGAUGGGCCUGCGGCGUAUUAGCUAGUUGGUGGGGUAAUGGCCUACCAAGGCGACGAUGCGUAGCCGAACUGAGAGGUUGAUCGGCCACACUGGGACUGAGACACGGCCCAGACUCCUACGGGAGACAGCAGUUAGGAAUAUUCGUCAAUGGAGGAAACUCUGAACGAGCAAUGCCGCGUGAACGAUGACGGCCCUAUGGGUUGUAAAGUUCUGUUGUUUGGAAAGAACGAUAGAUAGAGGAAAUGCUAUCUAUGUGACGGUACCAUUCAAGAAAGCCACGGCUAACUACGUGCCAGCAGCCGCGGUAAUACGUAGGUGGCGAGCGUUAUCCGGAUUUAUUGGGCGUAAAGGGUGCGCAGACGGUUUAUUAAGUCUAAAAUCAAAUCUUGGGGCUCAACCCCAUUCCGUUUUAGAAACUGGUAGACUUGAGUAUGGUAGAGGCAAAUGGAAUUCCUAGUGUAGCGGUGGAAUGCGUAGAUAUUAGGAGGAACACCAGUGGCGAAGGCGAUUUGCUGGGCCAUUACUGACGUUCAGGCACGAAAGCGUGGGGAGCAAAUAGGAUUAGAUACCCUAGUAGUCCACGCCGUAAACGAUGAGUACUAAGUGUCGGGUUACCGGUGCUGAAGUUAACACAUUAAGUACUCCGCCUGAGUAGUACGGUCGCAAGGCUGAAACUCAAAUGAAUUGACGGA